UGAGACCAAUAGAAUACAGAUGUGAUGCCA
Molecule: non-coding RNA, 30 nt
Filed under: Rattus norvegicus (Norway rat)
Lineage: Eukaryota; Metazoa; Chordata; Mammalia; Rodentia; Muridae
Source: RNAcentral